Molecule: long non-coding RNA, 2191 nt
Filed under: Equus asinus (donkey)
Lineage: Eukaryota; Metazoa; Chordata; Mammalia; Perissodactyla; Equidae
Description: lncRNA (ENSEASG00005023975.1)
Source: RNAcentral
GUGAGGGCUCCCUGUGCACCACCUGGGGCGGCAGCCCUGUCCUGGAGCAGAGCAGCCUCCUGACCUCGCAGGCCCUGCAGGUGCCCCCACCCUCCCUCCAGACGCUAAAGCUCUCCACUUGCCCAGGCACGCCGUCUGGACACCAUGCUGCUCUCAGGGGCACCAGGGCCUGCAUGGGCUCUCCUCGUCUUCUCCAGAGCCUGUCCCAGCGCCCACCCUGCUCUCCACUGCAUUUGGCGGGACUUGCCUGGUAGCCGCCCCACCCUCUGGAGCCUGGUGGAGCACCCUGCCCCCGCCACCCCUCCCAGACCCCCACCCAUACAGCAUCAGAUGCUGCUGCAUGUGGCUAACGGCAUCCCGCAGGAGCUGAGGGCACACAUGCAGCCCUCCCUGCCCUCCAGCUUCUUCCACGGCGAGGAAAACUGGGUGCUGAAGCUGUUUCUAGAAGGCCUCUUGCACAAAACCGCCAUCCUCCUGGAUGUGGUGGGCAUGAUUAUGCAGGACCCAAGCAACCGACCAGGAGCCCGCCCUGCGUGAGUCCUGAUGCUCUCGGCCGCCAGCCGCGCAGUCACAGCGUGAGGCCACUCCUUGGCCCAGCUCCUGGUUCAGGCGACAGUCCUGGCCCCAGCAGGUGGUAGGCCCUGGGCCCUGACUACAUGAGUGAGCUGCUGUGCCUGUCCCUGAGCUUCGAGGGUCCAGAAACGCAGCCCUUCAGCCUCUUCCUGUCCCACGUGGUGGCAGAAACCUGAGUGGUGUCCCUGGGCAAAGUCGCUCGACCUUCAUUGUCUCUAAAACCUUCAGGAGGCCGCACCUCGGCCACAAACCACCUGUAGCUGAGCAGAUUCGUGUCUGUCGUUUCCCUGGGAAGACACUGGAAUGCCCAGGUCAGCCGGCCAGGGGAGGGGCGUCCGGGCUCCCCAAGAGAGCCGGCCCUCGGGAGGUGCUGGGGCUGCCUCCUGGGGAAGAGACAGGCAGGGCUGGCGGUGCCCCGCCUGCCAGCGUGUGUUCAUGGGUUCAUGUGACCUCAGGUGCGGCUGGAGCCCCGACAGCUGUCAGGAUGCACUGCGUUAACCAAGGCCGGUUCCCCAAGACCAGGGCCGUCCGCCCACGACACCCCUGGAGUCAUUCUUUGUGUUUUUGCACACAUGAGUCUAAGAGCCUAAAUUAUUUUUGGAAAUCAUUUUGAAACUUUCAAAGAUUAUGUAAAAGCUAUCUGGUUUUUUGAGCAAUGUUUAACUGAGUGAAGUAAAAAGUUUCUUUGGUAUUUUUUCAGUGCCCAUGUUCACCUCUGCUGGUUUUGAUUCCAGGGAUGGGGAACAAGUCGGUAUGUCCCCCUGCAGCCACCAGGCCCAUUUGUUGUCACUGUGCCUCAGGGCGGGGGUGGCAUGCAGCCUCUUGUUGCCCCAAGGGUCCGAAGUAAAGCUGCCCAGUGCUGCGUGCUCACUUGGGAGCCGUGUGGAGGAGAGCAGGUCUCCCCCACACGGAGCUGGAGCCCACAGUGCUGGGGUGGUACAGGGUCACCAGCACACCCCACACACUCAGAGGUGGCCCCGUGACAGAGACCAGCCUCAGCUCUGGCCCCGCCCGGCGGGGUUGGCAGCAGCUAUGGGUCCCGUCUGGUUGGGGUGUUUCCUCCCCUCCUGCCUGAGCCCUCCGUGGGGACCCUGCCGAGGGGUCAGAGCACUCCACACAGCUUUUUGAUUCUUAUUCCUGAGCACUGAUAUCAGCACAAAGGGGCCCCUGCCCUGGGGUCUUGCUGCGCCCACCCUCCACAGCCCCCGGGGAGGCCCAGCAGCACCUGGGGUGGCCGUUUCCAGGCCAGCGAGAAGCCCUGUGGUCUCUCCCCAGCAACCCAGUUAGUGGAGCUAAUUUCAGAACGGUGUCUCGUCUCCCUGGACCCGUUCCAGGCACCUGCGAGGCAGCGGUCAGCUGGAGGACAAGCUGUCUGCCUCCCUCCCGAGCAUCCUCCUCCCACCGUGGAUCCAGACCUGCCAGGUCCCCCUGGGGCGGGCUCCAGUGCAGGGGGCCUGGACUGGCACGUGUUGGGGUCCACAAGUCCACCCUCCCAGGAAGGUGAGAAACAGGACCUGCCGGGUCCCCUGACACUCACCAAGGACUGGGGAUGCCUGACACGAGCAGGCAUACGUCAGCUCAGCCACCGUGUGGGGUCAUGGCCUCCGUCACACAAGCC